GUAGGGAAUCUUCCACAAUGGACGAAAGUCUGAUGGAGCAACGCCGCGUGAGUGAAGAAGGGUUUCGGCUCGUAAAACUCUGUUGUUAAAGAAGAACAUAUCUGAGAGUAACUGUUCAGGUAUUGACGGUAUUUAACCAGAAAGCCACGGCUAACUACGUGCCAGCAGCCGCGGUAAUACGUAGGUGGCAAGCGUUGUCCGGAUUUAUUGGGCGUAAAGCGAGCGCAGGCGGUUUUUUAAGUCUGAUGUGAAAGCCUUCGGCUCAACCGAAGAAGUGCAUCGGAAACUGGGAAACUUGAGUGCAGAAGAGGACAGUGGAACUCCAUGUGUAGCGGUGAAAUGCGUAGAUAUAUGGAAGAACACCAGUGGCGAAGGCGGCUGUCUGGUCUGUAACUGACGCUGAGGCUCGAAAGUAUGGGUAGCAAACAGGAUUAGAAACCCGUGUAGUCC
This 450-nucleotide ribosomal RNA is filed under the name uncultured bacterium. Its description in RNAcentral is "bacterial SSU rRNA". It matches the Rfam family "Bacterial small subunit ribosomal RNA", at positions 354 to 796 of the family's 1533-position model. The record is from RNAcentral.